AACAACAACAAAAAAAAAAGCCAAACAAAAAUCAAGUAUUAAAUACCAAAUACCAGUGGUUCCUGGAACAGGCUUGAUUUUCUUCUGCAAGUAAUGCUAUCCCCACAAUUAUUUUUAUACUUUAUUUUUAUUUUUCCAUCUGGGAGAUUAUUGAGGAAAAGAAACCAUAAACCAUGAUUUUCUUGUUUUUGUUUUUUAGGUUUUUUUGGUUUACUGGGGCUUGAACUCAGGGCCUGAGCGCUGUCCCUGAGCUUCUUUUGCUCAAGACUAGUGUUCUACCACUUGAGCCACAGU
Molecule: long non-coding RNA, 294 nt
Organism: Perognathus longimembris pacificus (Pacific pocket mouse)
Lineage: Eukaryota; Metazoa; Chordata; Mammalia; Rodentia; Heteromyidae
Exons: 3
Source: RefSeq, a predicted model, not a curated record